Molecule: unclassified non-coding RNA, 211 nt
Filed under: Ascomycota sp.
Lineage: Eukaryota; Fungi; Ascomycota
Description: partial contains small subunit ribosomal RNA, internal transcribed spacer 1, and 5.8S ribosomal RNA
Rfam family: Eukaryotic small subunit ribosomal RNA (bases 1-47)
Source: RNAcentral
AAAGUCGUAACAAGGUUUCCGUAGGUGAACCUGCGGAAGGAUCAUUACCAUAUUUGGGGGUUACGCUUCGGCUAGCCCGACCACACCCAUGUAUUGUUAACCCUCACCUUUCUCUGGUAAUGGCCUGCCAGAGAAAGACACAACCCUGUACUUGUAAUCUGCAUCAGAAUCUAUGAUAUUAAAACUUUCAACAACGGAUCUCUUGGCUCUG